This 333-nucleotide long non-coding RNA is filed under the name Salmo salar (Atlantic salmon). RNAcentral describes it as "lncRNA (ENSSSAG00000096539.1)". The record is from RNAcentral. Lineage: Eukaryota; Metazoa; Chordata; Actinopteri; Salmoniformes; Salmonidae.
GUAGUGUUUGAGGAGUGUUAUAUAGCAGGUACCUAGACAGGUGGUGUUUGAGGAGUGUUAUAGAGCAGGUACCUGGACAGGUAGUGUUUGAGGAGUGAUAUAUAGCAGGUACCUGGACAGGUAGUGUUUGAGGAGUGUUAUAUAGCAGGUACCUAGACAGGUGGUGUUUGAGGAGUGUUAUUUAGCAGGUACCUAGACAGGUAGUGUUUGAGGAGUGUUAUAGAGCAGGUACCUGGACAGGUAGUGUUUGAGGAGUGUUAUAGAGCAGGUAUCUGGACAGGUAGUGUUUGAGGAGUGUUAUAGAGCAGGUACCUGGACAGGUAGUGUUUGAGG